GUAAGGAAUAUUGGACAAUGGACGCAAGUCUGAUCCAGCCAUGCCGCGUGAAGGAUUAAGGUCCUCUGGAUUGUAAACUUCUUUUAUAAGGGACGAAAAAAGGCUUUUCUAAGUCGUCUGACGGUACCUUAUGAAUAAGCACCGGCUAACUCCGUGCCAGCAGCCGCGGUAAUACGGAGGGUGCAAGCGUUAUCCGGAUUCACUGGGUUUAAAGGGUGCGUAGGCGGGCAGGUAAGUCAGUGGUGAAAUCCUAGAGCUUAACUCUAGAACUGCCAUUGAUACUAUCUGUCUUGAAUAUUGUGGAGGUAAGCGGAAUAUGUCAUGUAGCGGUGAAAUGCUUAGAUAUGAUAUAGAACACCUAUUGCGAAGGCAGCUUACUACGCAUAUAUUGACGCUGAGGCACGAAAGCGUGGGGAUCAAACAGGAUUAGAUACCCGAGUAGUCC
This 445-nucleotide ribosomal RNA is filed under the name uncultured bacterium. RNAcentral's name for it is "partial 16S ribosomal RNA". It matches the Rfam family "Bacterial small subunit ribosomal RNA", at positions 354 to 796 of the family's 1533-position model. The record is from RNAcentral.